Bombus terrestris (buff-tailed bumblebee) is the source of this 2057-nucleotide long non-coding RNA. RefSeq lists it as uncharacterized. The record is from RefSeq and is a predicted model, not a curated record. NCBI's taxonomy places the organism in Eukaryota, Metazoa, Arthropoda, Insecta, Hymenoptera, Apidae. The transcript is spliced from 2 exons.
UUAUAUCCUAAGUGUGCACAGUUUUAUACUAUAACAGGAAACUGUGGCGCAUUGAUAAGAUAAUUUACAUAUUACGACAUUUCUGUUACGGCCAAGAAAUUUUUUCCUGUAGCAAGAAUCUCAAACACGCGCGGAUAAUACGAGUUUCGAGUGUCAGCGUGUUUUACUUCUGACGAAUAUUGUCGCGUUACGAGUACAGUAAAUAGCUUCCUGAUUCGUUGCAGUUCGAGCAACGCGUAUGAAACGUUUGGAUAAUAAUACGUUGAGACAGCAGGUCUUUGGAUACUGCAGUUUUUGCUAUACCAAAGUUUCCUAACCCUCGGUUGUCGUCAUGGGUCAUAGUGAUCCACAGUUUUACUUUGGGCAAAGAUAUCUUCAAAGCGUAGCUUAUGUGUAUUAUUAAAUGUAUUAUCUAUUACUAAUUUGUAGUGUUCUUUUAUAACAUCUGAUGAUCAUGUUGCAAAGAAUCCCAUUAGCUUGUGUCUGGCGAUUCUCUAAAGUUUGUAAUGGGAUAGGCUGACCCAAGUGUGAUAAAAGCAUAUUUUUUGCUGCAAUCAAACAGAUUUUAUUUCUGUGCAAACUUUUCAUAGAAAUUCUCGUGCAUGAACUACAGGAGGAAUUGAGUGACAUGGCUAUUAUAUCUUCGUAAUACCUAAAUCUGUCAGAUUCUUUCUAUUUACAAACAGCUCGUCCUCAACGUGUCAGAUAAUGUAAAUGUCAUUUUUGAAACGUGCACUAGAAAAAUAUUUUUUCCCACGUCUUUAGCAUAAGGAUAGAAAAGGUACAGUAUUUCAUCACAAAAAUGUUUUUUUUUCUAAACUUAAUGUUAGAGAUCUUUUUCUCGAAAAUAAUGUCACUUCGUUAACCUUCUUUUGUUAUUUAAACACAUAUUCUAGAAUGUUCAAACUAUAUUCCCAAAUUUGUUCGAUUCAAUAUCAUUACUAUUCUUCGAACAGCAGCUGCUCGAAGAUUGAUCCGGGUCUGACUGACCUAAUGUGACAAGCGCGUUUCAUGAGCCAAUGUGACACCGAGGGUUCAACUACGACAAUCCUCUACGAAGAAAAUAUACAAUAAGAUUUGUUCAUUUCCGGUUUAGUUUUCGAGAAAAACGAGUUUGGAAAUAAAUUAAAUUUGACCAAUUCCGGACUAGAUGGGACUAAAUAAUUGAUAUUCUACGUCAUUCUAUGCGCGGAAAUAAGUCGAUAACUUAGAACAAAAUAUCCCUCUGUUCCCGAGAAAAAAUUAAAUUAAAAGGUUAUAUAAUUAAAUUAAAAGAUUAUAUUAAAAGCCUCAAACCGAAUAUCAUCUGAUUAAUUAGUUCCUCGAUUUUUGUUAAUAUAAGAAUUCAUGUAAAGUUGAACGAACAAAAGAAAUAACGACGAGUGUACAAUUUUAAAUUAUUUUUAUAUUGGGUUGGCAACUAAGUUGCCUAAGUUGCAACUAACCCAACCUAACCUCAAUACAUUUUGAAACCGGUCACCCGACCGGACCUGUUACUGUAAAUUAAACACGUUCAAACCUUAUUUUCUUGAGAACGAAGCCUCAAAUAGAAGAAUUUUAUUCUACGUUUUAGACUAAUUUUCACAAGUAGAACCAGCUGUCGAUUGUUUAGUGGUCGUCUAACCCGCAAUAAGCCACGUUUUAACUAUUGGGUUGGCAACUAAGUGAUUGCGGAUUUUGUCAAUGCCACCUAAUGGCAACAUCCGCAAUCACUUAGUUGCUAACCCAAUAGCUAACUCGAUAAAUUUUCGAACUCGAAUUUUUCGAGAACUGAGCCGAGAACGAACAAAUUUGUAAAAUCUGUAAAAUCUGAUUCCACGUGUUCCAUUCGUGCGAAUUCUGUAUCAAAGCACCGGCGCAUCACACACUGAUUAAUUUCGUAUUUUGAACAGUGUAUCAGCUACUUACGUUACAGGCGAGGAUUUGCGAAACUCGAAGGGAAGUGUAAUGCAAGAACUGAAAAGGAAAAAGAAGCUCAAGCCAUUUCAACUGAUCCCGGCAAUUUGAGAAUUACUGACAGGAAACGCAGGUGCAAGAUGGCUCCGUCGGCGAGGAAG